AUGUUUGGUUUUCGAUGUUUUUUGCAUGACUAUAUGGGCGGAGGGGAGGAGAGCUCAGCUGAUGGCCUAGAGGUUGGGGAAUUCUUAGAGCAGGAUCCGGUUAUUACGUCGCGUCUGUCAGUUAAGCAUGUAGUAAACGUCAUGGGGAAGUUUGACGAAUACAAGAGGUGGCUAGUGUCAGAGAUCGGGUUUGGUGGAAUACUGAAGCUACCGAUGCUCAAGAAAAUAGAUCUGAGGAUGAGUGCCUGGGUGAUGAGGAAGGUGAAGGUUAGAUCUCGAGAGAUUGUAGUUGAUGGCGAGAGGAAGAUUGUGUUUACGGCAAGUGACUUCCAUAAGAUUUCUGGGGUGCCGUGUGGGAAUCGAGAUGUGCAUGGUAGGGAUGCACAAGUUGCGUUUUCAGCGAUUCAGUUUAUAAAGCAGACAAUCGAGAUGAACAACUCUAUUGCUCAUAAGUUGAAGGCUGUUGAAAUGUUUAUAAGUAGAGAAAUUACGGAGGAGUCAAGCAAGAUGGAGAAGGAUUGUUUCUAG
Molecule: ribosomal RNA, 528 nt
Filed under: Triticum aestivum (bread wheat)
Lineage: Eukaryota; Viridiplantae; Streptophyta; Magnoliopsida; Poales; Poaceae
Description: partial small subunit ribosomal RNA
Source: RNAcentral